GGGCUGCAGUGAGGAAUAUUGCGCAAUGGGGGCAACCCUGACGCAGCGACGCCGCGUGGAUGAUGAAGGCCUUCGGGUCGUAAAAUCCUGUCGGAUGGGAAGAAGUGUAAUGUGGUUAAUACCCAUGUUAUUUGACGGUACCAUCAAAGGAAGCACCGGCUAACUCCGUGCCAGCAGCCGCGGUAAUACGGAGGGUGCAAGCGUUGUUCGGAAUUACUGGGCGUAAAGCGCGCGUAGGCGGUUUGUUAAGUCAGAUGUGAAAGCCCAGGGCUUAACCCUGGACGUGCAUUUGAAACUGUCAGACUUGAGUAUUGGAGGGGGUGGUGGAAUUCCCGGUGUAGAGGUGAAAUUCGUAGAUAUCGGGAGGAAUACCGGUGGCGAAGGCGACCACCUGGCCAAAUACUGACGCUGAGGUGCGAAGGCGUGGGGAGCAAACAGGAUUAGAUACCCCGGUAGUC
Molecule: ribosomal RNA, 458 nt
Filed under: uncultured Desulfocapsa sp.
Lineage: Bacteria; Pseudomonadati; Thermodesulfobacteriota; Desulfobulbia; Desulfobulbales; Desulfocapsaceae
Description: bacterial SSU rRNA
Rfam family: Bacterial small subunit ribosomal RNA
Source: RNAcentral